This 725-nucleotide ribosomal RNA is filed under the name Tricholoma alpinum. RNAcentral's name for it is "partial small subunit ribosomal RNA". The stretch from base 422 to 686 matches the Rfam family "Bacterial small subunit ribosomal RNA", at positions 566 to 869 of the family's 1533-position model. The record is from RNAcentral. Lineage: Eukaryota; Fungi; Basidiomycota; Agaricomycetes; Agaricales; Tricholomataceae.
UCAUUUAUUAUGGUGAUUGUGAUAACAUAAGGGAAAAAAAUGAUGUUACCUUAUUAAUAGUGUUGUCCAAAACUGGUGCCAGAAGACUCGGUAAGGCCAGAGACGCAAACGUUAGUCAUCUUAAUCAGGCGUAAAGGGUGUGUAGGCUGCUUUGAAAGUUUAAAUCUUUAUAAUAGCUCUGUUACCGUACUACUAUAUUAUUUAAUUGAAUUAUUAAAAUUAAAAUUAAAAUUAUUUAAAAUAAAAAAUAAAUAAUAAUAAAUAAUAAAGAAUAAAUAUAAAUAUAAAUAUAAAUAUAAAUAUAAAUAUAAAUAUAAAUAUAACUAUAACUAUAAAUAUAAAUUAAAAAAUGUAGUAUAUAAAAUUUAUUAAACUAAACACUAAAUGAUAUUAAAAAUAAAAUAAAAAAUAAAAUAAUAUCCGUGUAUCAGUUAAAAAAUAAAUGAAUUAUAGCUACAAUCAAAGGGAGGAUAAGCCAAAUAAUACUUAUUGUAGGGCUAAUAUCCGCAUAUAUUAAGGGGAAUACAAAAGGCGAAAGCUUUUUAUCUAUAAUUGAUUGACGCUGAGAAACGAAGGUGAGAAUAGGAAAUAGGAUUAGAUACCCAGAUACCUCUCACUGUCAACGAUGAAUGGUGGUUAGUUAGUUUUAAAAAAAACUAGUAGCGAUGUUAACACGAUAACCAUUCCGCCUUGCGAGUACGGUUGCAAAACUGAAACCAAAAAAA